UGUGACCUACGGGACGCAGCAGUGGGGAAUAUUGCACAAUGGGGGAAACCCUGAUGCAGCGACGCCGCGUGAGUGAAGAAGUAUUUCGGUAUGUAAAGCUCUAUCAGCAGGGAAGAAAAUGACGGUACCUGACUAAGAAGCCCCGGCUAACUACGUGCCAGCAGCCGCGGUAAUACGUAGGGGGCAAGCGUUAUCCGGAUUUACUGGGUGUAAGGGGAGCGUAGACGGCAGCGCAAGUCUG
Molecule: ribosomal RNA, 241 nt
Filed under: uncultured bacterium
Lineage: Bacteria
Description: partial 16S ribosomal RNA
Rfam family: Bacterial small subunit ribosomal RNA
Source: RNAcentral